CCCCCCUCUGUCCAUUCAGUGCUUCCAUCCCUCCCUAUCUAAGCAGUGUAACGCUGGGCUCUCUGACAGGAGCAAGCUCGAGCCAAGCAAGAGAUUCUACUACACUGCAGAGAAGACUUCAAACUUUUGCCCAAGGAAUAUUACUUCAGUCUGCUUGUUCCUCUAUUUCUAUGGAUGACAGGUAGCAGCUGCCACACUUCAGUCUUUGUUUUUGUUUCAUUCGACUGGAAACAUAUUGGAGUGUUACUGGAAAUCUAUACAAACAUUAGGGCUUCAGGAGUGAAUGCAUGUUCAUCCUCUUUUUCCUCACUUCAUGUGAGGAAAAGAACUGAAGGAAUCUGUGGCGUCAAGCUGUAUUGGAUCGAGCUUGUUCGGAGAGUGUUUUAUUCUAAACACGGGGAAAUGGACUGACUCACUGAACUCCUCUGGAUGUUGGAGUUUGAAAAGCACUCUCAUGAGAUUUUAGUCCUGCAUAAAUAACAUUCCUUUGACUCAUCAAGACACACAUUUCCAGACUAUUUGUUUGUUUUCCAUAUUUGCUUUUUCUUUUGAACACUUUUGUUUCUAGGAGCUGUGGACUGAUUGUUUAUUGCCAUAAGAGGUGGUGGAUUUCUUGAGCUGGCUCUUCCUUUCUCUCUCUCUCUCCUCUCUCCCUCUCUCUCUCUUUGAGAGUCUGGCAGGUCUCCUUCAGCAGAAUACCUGACAUUGUGGCUGUGUGUAAAGGAGGUAGAAUCCCCAAGAUUGAACCUAUCCACACUCCAGAAAUUUGUGUUUGAAACCUUUAAGAAGACAAGCUCUUAAUUUGACCCCACAACCAGGAUUUUCUAAGACCAGGAGCGCCAGGAGUUAGGAUGGAGAUUCUGGGCUUCUCCCUCCACCAGCAGAGCCUCUGGAGCUGUGGCGACGGUCUUCAGCAGAUGCACAGAUGCAGCAACAGAAGCUCGCUGGUCCUCAGGGCUGAUUCAGACCAGUGACUUGGACUGCUUGAUUACGGAGCGGAAUUUAGAGUUGCUACUGUUCUCUACGCUUGCCUUGCGGAGGACGGAGGAGCAACUGCCAUACUGAUCCCAUGCAGUUCUCACCUGGAGGUCAGGCAAAGAGUUAGACACGCAGACAAGUCUGGAUAAGCCGGCAAACGUGUCAAUGCUCCAACUCAUUCUAAGAUGAAGUUAUGGAAGUGUGCCGCCAUCGCUUUGACACUCUUUGGUGCAGCACUGUCCCUCUUCCUCACUAGAAACAUGGUUCCCACAUCUCUGCGUCACCUCCCCUCCUGGGACACGUCACCGUUGCGGACGCCCUCGUCCUCCAACUCCUCCUCUUCGGCGCUGAUCGGACAUCCUCGCAAAGUACGGUCAACAGAAGGCAUCCGCGACAUUUUGACAGAAU
Molecule: long non-coding RNA, 1386 nt
Organism: Esox lucius (northern pike)
Lineage: Eukaryota; Metazoa; Chordata; Actinopteri; Esociformes; Esocidae
Source: Ensembl